CCUACGGGAGGCUGCAGUGGGGAAUAGUGGACAAUGGGGGGAACCCUGAUCCAGCGACGCCGCGUGAGUGAAGAAGUAUUUCGGUAGGUAAAGCUCUAUCAGCAGGGAAGAAAAUGACGGUACCUGACUAAGAAGCCCCGGCUAACGACGUGCCAGCAGCCGCGGUAAGACGGAGGGGGCAAGCGUUAUCCGGAUUUACUGGGUGUAAAGGGAGCGCAGGCGGAAGAUCAAGUCAGCGGUAAAAUUGAGAGGCUCAACCUCUUCGAGCCGUUGAAACGGGUUUUCUGGAGUGCGCGAGAAGUAUGCGGCCUGCGUGGUGUAGCGGUGAACUGCCUCGCUAUCACGC
This 346-nucleotide ribosomal RNA is filed under the name uncultured bacterium. RNAcentral's name for it is "partial 16S ribosomal RNA". It matches the Rfam family "Bacterial small subunit ribosomal RNA", at positions 338 to 702 of the family's 1533-position model. The record is from RNAcentral.